AGUGAACGCUGGCGGUAGGCCUAACACAUGCAAGUCGAACGGCAGCACAGUAAGAGCUUGCUCUUACGGGUGGCGAGUGGCGGACGGGUGAGGAAUACAUCGGAACCUACUUUUUCGUGGGGGAUAACGUAGGGAAACUUACGCUAAUACCGCAUACGACCUACGGGUGAAAGCAGGGGAUCUUCGGACCUUGCGCGAUUGAAUGAGCCGAUGUCGGAUUAGCUAGUUGGCGGGGUAAGGGCCCACCAAGGCGACGAUCCGUAGCUGGUCUGAGAGGAUGAUCAGCCACACUGGAACUGAGACACGGUCCAGACUCCUACGGGAGGCAGCAGUGGGGAAUAUUGGACAAUGGGCGCAAGCCUGAUCCAGCCAUACCGCGUGGGUGAAGAAGGCCUUCGGGUUGUAAAGCCCUUUUGUUGGGAAAGAAAAGCAGCAGGUUAAUACCCCGCUGUUCUGACGGUACCCAAAGAAUAAGCACCGGCUAACUUCGUG
This 492-nucleotide ribosomal RNA is filed under the name uncultured bacterium. Its description in RNAcentral is "partial 16S ribosomal RNA". It matches the Rfam family "Bacterial small subunit ribosomal RNA", at positions 29 to 507 of the family's 1533-position model. The record is from RNAcentral.